This 253-nucleotide ribosomal RNA is filed under the name uncultured bacterium. RNAcentral's name for it is "partial 16S ribosomal RNA". It matches the Rfam family "Bacterial small subunit ribosomal RNA", at positions 524 to 776 of the family's 1533-position model. The record is from RNAcentral.
UACAGGGGGUGCAAACGUUGCUCGGAAUUAUUGGGCGUAAAGCGCGCGUAGGCGGUCUUGUAAGUCGGAUGUGAAAGCCCUUGGCUUAACCGAGGAAGUGCAUCCGAAACUGGCAGGCUAGAGUACUAAAGAGGGUCGCGGAAUUCCCGGUGUAGAGGUGAAAUUCGUAGAUAUUCGCAAGAACACCAGUGGCGAAGGCGGCUCACUGGCCCGGUACUGACGCUGAGGUGCGAAAGCGUGGGGAGCAAACAGG